GUAUAUAUAGCUCAGUGGUAGAGCGCGUGCUUAGCAUGCAAAAGGUCCUGGGUUCAAUCCCCAGUACCUCCA
Molecule: transfer RNA, 72 nt
Filed under: Camelus bactrianus (Bactrian camel)
Lineage: Eukaryota; Metazoa; Chordata; Mammalia; Artiodactyla; Camelidae
Also listed under: 2 other names
Rfam family: tRNA
About the family: Transfer RNA (tRNA) molecules are approximately 80 nucleotides in length.
Source: Rfam by way of RNAcentral